RNAcentral lists this ribosomal RNA (629 nucleotides) under uncultured bacterium. RNAcentral describes it as "bacterial SSU rRNA". It matches the Rfam family "Bacterial small subunit ribosomal RNA", at positions 201 to 847 of the family's 1533-position model. The record is from RNAcentral.
UAAAAGAUUUAUCGGUUUGGGGUGGGCUCGCGUCCGAUUAGGUAGUUGGUGAGGUAACGGCCCACCAAGCCGACGAUCGGUAGCCGACCUGAGAGGGUGAUCGGCCACAUUGGGAGUGAGACACGGCCCAAACUCCUACGGGAGGCAGCAGUGGGGAAUAUUGGGCAAUGGAGGAAACUCUGACCCAGCAACGCCGCGUGGAGGAAGAAGGUUUUCGGAUCGUAAACUCCUGUCCUUGGAGACGAGUAGAAGACGGUAUCCAAGGAGGAAGCCCCGGCUAACUACGUGCCAGCAGCCGCGGUAAUACGUAGGGGGCAAGCGUUGUCCGGAAUAAUUGGGCGUAAAGGGCGCGUAGGCGGCUCGGUAAGUCUGGAGUGAAAGUCCUGCUUUUAAGGUGGGAAUUGCUUUGGAUACUGUCGGGCUUGAGUGCAGGAGAGGUUAGUGGAAUUCCCAGUGUAGCGGUGAAAUGCGUAGAGAUUGGGAGGAACACCAGUGGCGAAGGCGACUAACUGGACUGUAACUGACGCUGAGGCGCGAAAGUGUGGGGAGCAAACAGGAUUAGAUACCCUGGUAGUCCACACUGUAAACGAUGAAUGCUAGGUGUAGGGGGUAUCGACCCCUUCUGUGCC